RNAcentral lists this unclassified non-coding RNA (1300 nucleotides) under Bombus terrestris (buff-tailed bumblebee). RNAcentral describes it as "misc RNA ENSBTSG00005038499.1". The record is from RNAcentral. Lineage: Eukaryota; Metazoa; Arthropoda; Insecta; Hymenoptera; Apidae.
AGCUAGGCGCGUCUGUGAUUAAAGUGUCCGUUAACGCGAGUUAAUUGAUCUUUCAGUUAAUGCGAUACUGCCCUCUCAUUGCAUUUCUGGUUUCCCUAUCGACGAGAUCCCCGCUCGGCGAGAGUAAAUCGCACGCGUUCCCGUCCCCGCAAUCUACUCGCGCGUCCGCUGAAAGUCGUUUCCCUUUCGAUUAGCGUCUCGCCUUCCCGGUCGUUUGAUGAACACGGAUCAAACGAGCCGUCCAUCCGAGCCUCGACGUUCUUUCACGAUCAGGAUAAUUACGGUGAUCUCGUUGCGAAGGAUAUCCCCCUUCGCGCACCAACGGUUCGUCCGCGCGCCAAACAGAACGGCAAGAAGACGAGCAAAAGAGGGGGAGGAGAGAACUGGAGCUCGUGGCCAGGUCGAACAAAACACUCUCACGUACAGCAACUGUCACUGCCACCGGGGCAGCCGGGUGUCUCGUCCCGUGGGACCGGCGAGACGAACACCUUGCGCCCGAUCCUGAUCCGAUGCGACGUCGCGAUGACGAUUAUCAUCGAUCAUCGAUCGGUUCGACUCGUUUCCCUCUCUUUCGUUUUAUCUCGAUACCUAGAGAUCACACUGUGCGUACUAUAUCACGGUAUUCGAAACUGUCCGUCACUUGUCUCCUUCGAAGUCACUCUUAGGUAUCAACUGCGGUCACACACAAUAAUAAAGGGAUCCAAGAAAAGUCGAAGUUCGACGUUGACAUACACGAUGUAGAAACUUUCGUAUACGAUACCAUGAAUCGAUGGUAUCCACCUGACGGAUUCGUUGGACUCGUUCCUCGGCUGAGUCGUUCGGGUGUCACUCGGACGAUUCGUUCGCACCGACUACGCGGUCGUUAGGUAAUCCCGGGCCUGAAAGCACUGCUUGCUACCACUCCGGCACGCACCGUUCUCCGCCGAGCGUCGAAGAACUAAUAAAAGCUGGGACCCAGGUUGAAACUGCGUAGGCCGCUUACUACUCCUUCCACCGCGGCUUCGUCCUAUCCCACCGACGUACCGGACCGGGCCCCGAGACAGAGACAGGCAGGAGAGAAGGCACCAACGGACGAACGGACGGACGUACGGACAGACGAACGCGCCACGGAUGCACGGACGGACGAAUGGACGAACGGACUGUAAGAAGCAACGGACAUGCGGACUUUAACAGGUAUACAUACGUCGCGGAGCAACCUGGUAGGUUACCGGCCGGCGCUGAUGCUGCUAUUACUGCUCGCUGCUCCUGCUGCACGUUGUUGCUUGCUUCUGCGGCUGGUGAACGUCACUCGGUCAAGGUC